Molecule: ribosomal RNA, 438 nt
Filed under: uncultured bacterium
Lineage: Bacteria
Description: bacterial SSU rRNA
Rfam family: Bacterial small subunit ribosomal RNA
Source: RNAcentral
GCUGGCGACCGGCGCACGGGUGAGUAACGGCGUAUCCAACCUACCCCGCGGUCAGGGACAGCCCGGCGAAAGUCGGAUUAAUACCUGAAUGCAGUCAGAAGAGGGCAUCUGAUUUUGACGAAAGAUUGAUCGCCUCGGGAUGGGGAUGCGUAGGAUUAGGCAGGCGGCGGGGUAACGGCCACCGCGCCGACGAUCCUUAGGGGUUCUGAGAGGAAGGUCCCCCACACUGGUACUGAGACACGGACCAGACUCCUACGGGAGGCAGCAGUGAGGAAUAUUGGUCAAGUGGGCGCGAGCCUGAACCGAGCCAAGUAGCGUGACCAGGACGACGGCCCUAUGGGUUGUAAACUGCUUUUAUGCGGGGAUAAAGUGCGGCACGUGUGCCGUUUUGUAGGUACCGCAUGAAUAAGGACCGGCUAAUUCCGUGCCAGCAGCAGC